UUUAAAUGCAACCAUAAGUUUCCACGCUCAACUUUGAUCGUCCAUCUUAUUUGAAAAUUUUUUAUAAUUAGUACUUUUGUUGUUAUGAGAUGAUAAAACAUGAAUAGUAAUUUACUCGUGACUUAUGUUUUAAAUUUUUUUUAAAACAAUUUCAAUUAAGACGGACGGUUAAAGUUAGGCGCGAAAAACCAUGGCUGCACUUAAA
Molecule: microRNA precursor, 205 nt
Organism: Oryza rufipogon (brownbeard rice)
Lineage: Eukaryota; Viridiplantae; Streptophyta; Magnoliopsida; Poales; Poaceae
Rfam family: MIR812 microRNA precursor family
Source: Rfam